RNAcentral lists this ribosomal RNA (427 nucleotides) under uncultured bacterium. RNAcentral describes it as "bacterial SSU rRNA". It matches the Rfam family "Bacterial small subunit ribosomal RNA", at positions 355 to 773 of the family's 1533-position model. The record is from RNAcentral.
UGGGGAAUUGUUCGCAAUGGGCGCAAGCCUGACGACGCAACGCCGCGUGGAGGAUGAAGACCUUCGGGUCGUAAACUCCUUUCGACCGAGAAGAAUGGCCUACGACCUCAUACGUCGUAGGCAUGACGGUAUCGAGGGAAGAAGCCCCGGCUAACUCUGUGCCAGCAGCCGCGGUAAUACAGGGGGGGCAAGCGUUGUUCGGAAUUACUGGGCGUAAAGGGUCUGUAGGUGGCCAACUAAGUCAGACGUGAAAUCCCUCAGCUUAACUGGGGAACUGCGUCUGAUACUGGAUGGCUUGAGUGUGGGAGAGGAAUGCGGAAUUCCAGGUGUAGCGGUGAAAUGCGUAGAUAUCUGGAGGAACACCGGUGGCGAAGGCGGCAUUCUGGACCAUAACUGACACUGAGAGACGAAAGCCAGGGGAGCAAAC